UGGGGAAUAUUGCACAAUGGGCGCAAGCCUGAUGCAGCCAUGCCGCGUGUGUGAAGAAGGCCUUCGGGUUGUAAAGCACUUUCAGCGGGGAGGAAGGCGAUAAGGUUAAUAACCUUGUCGAUUGACGUUACCCGCAGAAGAAGCACCGGCUAACUCCGUGCCAGCAGCCGCGGUAAUACGGAGGGUGCAAGCGUUAAUCGGAAUUACUGGGCGUAAAGCGCACGCAGGCGGUAUGUCAAGUCGGAUGUGAAAUCCCCGGGCUCAACCUGGGAACUGCAUUCGAAACUGGCAGGCUAGAGUCUUGUAGAGGGGGGUAGAAUUCCAGGUGUAGCGGUGAAAUGCGUAGAGAUCUGGAGGAAUACCGGUGGCGAAGGCGGCCCCCUGGACAAAGACUGACGCUCAGGUGCGAAAGCGUGGGGAGCAAACAGG
This 429-nucleotide ribosomal RNA is filed under the name Chloroflexota bacterium. RNAcentral describes it as "Chloroflexi bacterium partial 16S ribosomal RNA". It matches the Rfam family "Bacterial small subunit ribosomal RNA", at positions 355 to 776 of the family's 1533-position model. Lineage: Bacteria; Bacillati; Chloroflexota. The record is from RNAcentral.